GAACAAGUUUUGAGCGGCGAAGGGAGAAUUAUGGCACGCAGCUUUCGGCCUCUGUCUUGUUGUAGUCCUCCAAAAAUUGAUGCCAACUUUCCACAUUUUUAGCGACAGUUUGCCCGCGUCCUCCGCCUUGAACAGUGAGAGAAAAGCCGAGACAACUGAGUGGAAAUCGGCCAGAGAAAACCAGCAAAAUAAAUGGGAAAGAGUGCUGGGGAAAAAAAGGGUUUUUCCUGGAUGAAAGUAUAAAUUUUCCCUAAUUCUCGAUUCCCUUGUGCGUUUGUGUGCCUCCUUGAGAGUUUCAAUUUUUAUGGAAAUCAGUGUAAUGCCAUUUCGGUGGAAAAAGGACAAUUGAUAAUGAGUCAUUCGAACGGAAUUCGAAUGGCAUUUCAGUGGCAAAGGGCCAAAAGGCAAAUUAAGUGCUCGCAUUGAUGCUUAAUUAAGAACUGGGAAUUUUUAUGGCUUUCGCAAGGAAUUUAAGAGAGGGAAAAUCACAACGACUUCUGGGGACUCCCGCCCAAAAAGGCAGACGGCAGUCGUAACCGUACUCUAUACUAGAGACCCCAAACCCCGGAGAACCAAAGAACCAAAGAGCCGAGGACCCCAAAGAAUUGGAAGAGACACACUGUGGAACGAACCACAAAGGCAACAUGUUGCACAUGCACUCGGCAAAAAGCAAUUUGCAUACAAAUGUUGCCAACGCACUUCAAAAACUGCACAAUCACAGGGGUUUUUUUUUUGAGGGGGAGGGGG
Molecule: long non-coding RNA, 747 nt
Organism: Drosophila erecta
Lineage: Eukaryota; Metazoa; Arthropoda; Insecta; Diptera; Drosophilidae
Exons: 3
Source: RefSeq, a predicted model, not a curated record